UCCCUGGUGGUCCAGUGGCUAGGACUCCACACUUCUAAAGGAGGGGCCCUGGUUCCAUCCCUGGUCAGGGAA
Molecule: transfer RNA, 72 nt
Filed under: Ovis aries (sheep)
Lineage: Eukaryota; Metazoa; Chordata; Mammalia; Artiodactyla; Bovidae
Rfam family: tRNA
About the family: Transfer RNA (tRNA) molecules are approximately 80 nucleotides in length. Their secondary structure includes four short double-helical elements and three loops (D, anti-codon, and T loops). Further hydrogen bonds mediate the characteristic L-shaped molecular structure. tRNAs have two regions of fundamental functional importance: the anti-codon, which is responsible for specific mRNA codon recognition, and the 3' end, to which the tRNAs corresponding amino acid is attached (by aminoacyl-tRNA synthetases). tRNAs cope with the degeneracy of the genetic code in two manners: having more than one tRNA (with a specific anti-codon) for a particular amino acid; and 'wobble' base-pairing, i.e. permitting non-standard base-pairing at the 3rd anti-codon position.
Source: Rfam by way of RNAcentral